This 242-nucleotide unclassified non-coding RNA is filed under the name uncultured Ascomycota. RNAcentral's name for it is "sequence contains ITS2". The record is from RNAcentral. Lineage: Eukaryota; Fungi; Ascomycota.
AUUGACCCAACAUCGCGCCCGCCGUGUGCGGGCUGCGGACCAGUGAGGGUUGGCCAGCACCAGUGCGGCCAUCCCUUGAAAUGCACGGCUUGGCCCGCGCUGUCGGGCUGCGUGUUGCAACUCCACACGAGCGACGCCUCACGGCGCGCCUCGCUGGGGCCAGCGCGCGGCAAUCCCCGACCGUGGGCCAGUGACAACGACGUGGCGAGUGGCCCCGCCCUGCGGGCGCCAGCUCACACCCA